This 511-nucleotide ribosomal RNA is filed under the name uncultured marine bacterium. RNAcentral describes it as "bacterial SSU rRNA". It matches the Rfam family "Bacterial small subunit ribosomal RNA", at positions 35 to 526 of the family's 1533-position model. The record is from RNAcentral.
GCUGGCGGCGUGCCUAAUACAUGCAAGUCGAGCGAAUGGAUUGAGAGCUUGCUCUCAAGAAGUUAGCGGCGGACGGGUGAGUAACACGUGGGUAACCUGCCCAUAAGACUGGGAUAACUCCGGGAAACCGGGGCUAAUACCGGAUAACAUUUUGAACUGCAUGGUUCGAAAUUGAAAGGCGGCUUCGGCUGUCACUUAUGGAUGGACCCGCGUCGCAUUAGCUAGUUGGUGAGGUAACGGCUCACCAAGGCAACGAUGCGUAGCCGACCUGAGAGGGUGAUCGGCCACACUGGGACUGAGACACGGCCCAGACUCCUACGGGAGGCAGCAGUAGGGAAUCUUCCGCAAUGGACGAAAGUCUGACGGAGCAACGCCGCGUGAGUGAUGAAGGCUUUCGGGUCGUAAAACUCUGUUGUUAGGGAAGAACAAGUGCUAGUUGAAUAAGCUGGCACCUUGACGGUACCUAACCAGAAAGCCACGGCUAACUACGUGCCAGCAGCCGCGGUAAUAC